ACGUUAAACCCUCGUUCGAAAUUUAUUACAAGGAAAACAGAGAGGAGACAUCGAUCAUCUCAUCCACAACGAAAACUCUUUGUGAUCAGCAAUCAGUCCCGAAUUCUAGCAGCAGCAGCAAGAGCAGCAGCAGCAGCAAUCGUCCUUUGGCUUCGGCUUGGGCUUUUCCACCUUGAUCUCCUGGAAGGAUUCCACAGAAAUACACUUGCGUUGCUUCUCGGUGGCCUUGAGGAUGUCGUCCACCUUGAAAUCACCCGUGAAGGUGUAAAAGGGAUCGUUAACCUCCACUUUCUUCACACCUGCAAGAGCACGAAGAUCUCUUGAUCAGCGAUCAAAAUUUGGGAGAAUUUGCGGAAAUCUACACUCACCGGAGACGCCGUGAUAGAUCUGAGACAUAAUCUUGUCCUUGCAUUUGUUGCAAGAGUCCACUUUCAAGACAACCUGCAGCACAGAGCUCGAGAUCAAACAAGGCUCAACGAAAUCAGCCAGACGCAAUGCUCACCUUCCAAGCCAUCUUGAUUGUCUACGAAUUUGCAGAUCACAGUUGUGAAAUUCGCAGCUUUGACAAGCUUGAGACGCUAGAUACCGGAAGACGGAGAAGCGGAAGAGAAGAGGGCCCUGCUGCUGACUGGGGAGACGUCAUCAAUUUAAGCAGUCGGAUGGAAUGCUUUCCACGGUUUACGCCGUGUGGAAGCCGGUCUUUGUAUGUAUGAUGAAUCCCGCGCACGUUCGUAAAAAGAAAACCUUUUUUUAUUAUAAUACUUUUUAUAUCGAGACAUAGGCGCCAAAGCCCUAAUUUUUGGAACAGAAAUGUAGAUUUGAACUUGAUGGUCUCGCUGGCGUGCAAGAGCUGGCGCGCUCACACCGGCGUGGAGCUCCACUUCUGCGAUCGUCCACGACGCCAUCUCCAGCGUCAUCGCGUGCCUCCGCAAGGUCUGUUUAGAAGCAAACAUGAGGUUUGUAUACAGACAAAAAGUUGUAAGAGUUAACCUCUUUCGAGUUUUCGUUGAAUCCCUUUGGCGUUAAUCAUGGGGAUGGCUCCAGUCGGUGUAAUCGUUGUUGACGACGUGGAAGUAUCCAUGUCGGCAUCUACAAAAGCAGAAGAAGAAGACGAAAUCCUGUUCGAACAGGGCAAUGCAAGUUUACAAUCACUUUGGACAGCAUCCUUUUUCUUUCUUAGCUCACAGCAGCACGACAUUCUGAUCUGCGAUCUACGAGAUCCGAGCAACCCUACGUCGCGGCGCGGAAUGGAGCGUACUUCAUCACAUCUGGAGUUGGAUCCGGGUCGGUCUAGGGCAAAGCGUCGAGCCUCGCCGCCAAGCCGCGGCCUACGUCAGUAGCACUUCUCUGCGGCACAGAUUCCAUGCUGACUAGUGAUUAUCAUCGCCAGUCGUCAUCAGCAGCUGUACAGCAUUACUGGACUGCGGACUAAUUGUUAUCCCUCUUAAUUAUUUGAAGGUCUCGGAAGGAAUAAGCUGGUGCAAUAUCAUUUGAAGGAUGGUUACAUGAGAGAGAGAGAGAGAGAGAGAGAGAGAGAGAGCUCCAUCUCUCUCCUCCAUCUCCAUGGAAGAAAGAAGAAGGAAAGUCUGGCAACCUCGGCCGGGAAUGGAUGAAAACUGGAAAGAGUUCUCUAGCCCUGACACGGAAGCGUUCUCUCCAUUUAUGAAACAAAGAAAGAAGUUGUACCUUUGGAAGUUUUGCUUGAUCGUAUCCUGAAAAACUUCUUAGCUCUUAAUAGAUCAUAUGUGGAUAAAAGAUAUAAUGGAAUAGUGCUAGUUGCUGCAACACAAUGUGCAGCAAUUUAUUUUGUGUUGCUGAUUAGGCAAAUGGGAGAGUUUGAGAAUAUUCACAACAUAUUAUUAUUCUAUAAAUGUGAUAACAUAAUAGAAUGCUUAUUACUAUUUAACAUUUAUUCCUUGGAGAAACUACAUGGUUAACUAAACUAAAGAUAAGGUAGUACCAACUUGAGGAACACCCAAUUGCUGGUCUGACGAAUGAGCCUAGCAGCUCAUCUAGACAAAAAGUGGGGUGAAUCUAGUAGGCCAGGGCAUUGAGAUGGAACAGCUGUUUGCAGGGCAGAAAUGUGCUCAAGGACUUGUAUACGUAUGCGGAUCCAUCAUACACGUGGUGCUCUCUCUCCAGGAGUGCAGAUGAAAGAUAUGUGGAUUAUAUUGCCCAGCUCCUGUUCGACGAUCUGCUGCCUCCACCUUAAUUGUCUUGGGAAAUCACAGCUUUGAUCGCAACUGAGACACUAGAUACCGAGUCGGAGAGACGGAGACCGGAGAGGGCAAGCCGUACAUACUUGGGGCGAAAGAUGGACUGCUGGUUCUAGAUUAAUCAUAGAUUAAUAUAAGUAAUUUGAAUUAUAUCCCAGCAAGCUACAUACGGCAACUCGCAUUACUUUUUCGAAGCUUCUACGAUUCCCCGCUGAUUCCUUUAUGCAGGCUUUGUGUGUCAACAUCCUUGAAAUUUAAACAUUUCCGCUCCCCCAAAGAUGGGAAGAACCAUUUCAACGUAGCACUCGCAUGCUCUGGAUGUUAGAAUCUCAAUCCUAUUGCAACAAAAAUUUGGUGAAAUACACCGAAUGAUCAGGUGCUCUACGUUAAACCCUCGUUCGAACUUGAUUACAAGGAAAACAGAGAGGAGAGAUCGAUCAUCUCAUCCACAACAAAACCUAUAUAUGAUCAGCAAUCAGUCCCGAAUUCUAGCAGCAGGAGCAAGAGCAGCAGCAGCAGCAAUCGUCCUUUGGCUUCGGCUUGGGCUUUUCCACCUUGAUCUCAUGGACGGAUUCCACAGAAAUACACUUGCGUUUCUUCUCGGUGGCCUUGAGGACGUCGUCCACCUUGAAAUCACCCGUGAAGGUGUAAAGGGGAUCUUUAACCUCCACUUUCUUCACACCUGCAAGAGCACGAAGAUCUCUUGAUCAGCGAUCAAAAUUUGGGAGAAUUUGCGGAAAUCUACACUCACCGGAGACGCCGUGAUAGAUCUGAGACAUCAUCCUGUCCUUGCAUUUGUUGCAAGAGUCCACUUUCAAGACAACCUGGAGCACAGAGCUCGAGAUCAAACAAGGCUCAACGAAAUCAGCCAGACGCAAUGCUCACCUUCCAAGCCAUCUUGAUUGUCUACGAAUUUGCAGAUCACAGUUGUGAAAUUCGCAGCUUUGACAAGCUUGAGACACUAGAUACCGGAGGACGGAGAAGCGGAAGAGAAGAGGGCCCUGCUGCUGACUGGGGAGACGUCAUGAAUUUAUAUCCGAGCAGCAGUCGUUCCACUCCGUUUACGCAGAAAGUUUCCCGUAGGAAUUGCCGUGUGGAAGCCGUGUUUGUAAUCCCGCGCACGUUCGUAAAAAGAAAACGUUUUUUUAUUAUAAUACUUUUUAUAUCGAGACCUAGAAUCCAUUUGGCGCCAAAGCCCUAAUUUUUUGAACAGAAAUGUAGGGUUUCAUCUUGAUGGUCCCUGGCGCGCUCACACCGCCUGGAUCGGCACGCUCGUCGUGCGGUGGAAGAUCGCCCCCAAUUCGACAGCCAGGGCGUCAUGAUCCAGGAGGAGCGCCGCCGAAUCUGUGGCAAGCACGGCGUGGAGCCCCACUUCUGCGAUUGCGUCCACGACGCCAUCUCCAGCGUCAUCGCGUGCCUCCGCAAGGUCUGGUAACUGGAUCUUUGCGAGCUUCGAAUUCGCGGAUGGAUUGGAGUACCUCUCCUCGGGGAUGCCAGCGAGUUCCAGCGGCGUUUUGGAGAAUCUCUUCACGCCGUCCAUGCAAGAAAGCGCUCAAGGGGUUCCUGCAAGCGCUUGGCGGAAUGCGCGAUUGGAUUCGGCCGCAUGGUGUAAGACUCGAUCUUUGGGUCCGUCCAACAACAUCUGGCACGCUCGCUCGCUCCACUGAUGGUCUCAUCGACGCCAUCAUGGCUUCCACGACAAGGUGAGUGCUCUGCUCUCUCUUUUCUCCAAAGUUUUCCUUGUUUACAGCAUUUCCCCGGAACAGUUACGAUACCAGAAAUCUUCGAGCGAACACACAGGAACACAUAAAGAAAGCAAUCACCCAAACAAUCUGGCGAGCAAAGACGCAAGAACACAUCAAGAAAAAAACCACCCAUGCAAGAACCCAGUUUUAUUCACGCUAUUUGCAGGCUCAGAUCUCCAGUUCCAGCUCUUCCAGAUGGAUUCCUCCGUGCACUCUCGCUUUGUUAUCUGUUUAGAAGCAAACACGAGGUUUGUAUACAGACAAAAAGUUGUAAGAGUUAACCUCUUUCGAGUUUUCGUUGAAUCCCGCAAAGAAUUUAUUGCCUUUGGCGUUACCUCCAAUGGCUCCAGUCGGUGUAAUCGUUGUUGACGACGUGGAAGUAUCCAUGUCGGCAUCUACAAAAGCAGAAGAAGAAGACGAAAUCCUGUUCGAACGGGGCAAUACAAGUUUACGAUCACUUUGGACAGCAUCCUUUUUCUUUCUUAGCUCACAGCAGCACGACAUUCUGAUCUGCGAUCUACGAGAUCCGAGCAACCCUACGUCGCGGCGCGGAAUGGAGCGUACUUCAUCACAUCUGGAGCUGGAUCCGGAAGGAAUAAGCGAGCGUGUUCCAUCGCUAGCUCCAUCUCUCUCCUCCAUCUCAAUGGAAGAAAGAAGAAGGAAAGUCUGGCAACCUCCGCCGGGAAUGGAUGAACACUGGAAAGAGUUCUCUAGCCCUGGCACGGAAGCGUUCUCUCCAUUUAUGAAACAAAGAAAGAAGUUGUACCUCUGGAAGUUUUGCUUGAUACUUCUUAGCUCUUGCUUCCCUUGACAUGCCUAAACGCUGCUUGACACAAGUUAGUAAUGAAGCAGUCGCCACAGCAAGGCCAAGCGGAUUGCAAAUGGUCUGACCAAAUCCAUGCAUGAAAAAAACAUGGAACAAAAUGGAUUGAUCGGAACCCAUUCUUCCCCCGGCAACCACGACUCUAGCGAGAUCCACGUCUCCUCUGGAGUUUUCGUGUCCUUUCAAAGCAAACAAGUAUGGAUCACAGUAUAGAGAGAACUUUGCUGGAAGAAACAACGUACGAAGCGUUUUUUUGGAUGUUGAUUUUGGAUAUGAUACGCAUUCCAGUCGGUUUGUAAUCCGGUGGACGUGAGUGUCGACACAAAUGCAUGCACGCUCUCCACGUUCAUCACCUACAUAAAGUUUUGGAAGGCAAAAUGAUUUAUAAAUAAAAUAUAAAUGAGACAAAACAGAUAUAAAGCUAUAAUAUAUAAAUAAAAAAUACAUAUAACUCAAUAUAUUAUUCUAAAUGAACAAAUAAACGAACACAACGAAAAAAUAAUAUAGUAUACACAAGGUACAACAUGAAUAUGGAAAUUCCUGUCCUACAAAUUUCAGCUUACCAAAUAACACAAGAAAAAUACAAAUACUAUAUAAAAUAUUACAUUUAAAAAAGAAAAUAGCAAUUGAAAUAACACAAAAAAUAGCAACGGAAAAUGAACUAGUAAAUGGAGCAGAUGGAGUAUUAUAAAAUGUAACCCAUAUCAAAGAAGAAAACAUAAUAGAUAGAAUCCCCAAAUAUAGAAACAGGUGAAAAAACAAAAGCUAAAGAGUAAAUAAAAAUAAUUUUAAAAAACAAGAUACCAAUAAGAAAAGUAACAAGAAUAAUAAAUAUUGCUAAAAUCCAAAAUUAUGUUUUAAACAGAACCCACCAUAUGUAGGAAGAAUAAUACACAGAGCUUAAGGAUCAACAGUAAAACAAUUAGAAUAUGACCUGUAUAAAACAAAAUAUCAAAGACAAGCAUAUAUAACAUUAUCAAGAGCACAAACAUUAGAGGUAAUAAAGAUGCAGCUAAAGACAUAAUAAGAAUGACAACAGAAGCACCAUGGCAAAUUAAUUUAAUAGAUUUACAAAAAGAGAAAAAAUCUAACCAAACUAAUACAAGUUUUAAAUAUAACAUCUGUUACAUCAUAUCAAGAAGAUAUAAAGAGUGUUUCAAUAUUAUUAUUAUUAAAUAUAAUGUUUAUAUAUAUAUAUAUAUAUAUAUAUAUAUAUAUAUAUAUAUAUAUAUAUAUAUAUAUAUAUAUAUAUAUAUAUGAAAACCCAUAUAGCAAUAUUUCAUACAAAUGACUAUAAAUCAGAAAAAUUAAAACAUUUAAAAACAGAAAAAAUGGCAAUGUCAUAUAUAUCACUAGUGAAAAAUAAUAAAUAAAUACAAAUACUAAAUUUACAUAGAAAACCUGGAACAAUUAUAUAAAUAUUUAUAAAAUAACUACAUAUGUAUAUAUAUAUAUAAAAUAAUUACAGGAAAUUUCAAUAUUGACUAUCAAAAUGAAGAAGCAAAACCAAUGGAGAUAUAUAUAAAUAAUAAAAGACAAUACACAUUAUAAGAAACUAAUAGAUCAUAUGUGGAUAAAAGAUAUAAUGAAGUAGUACCAGCAUACUGGACAGAUCAAAACAAAUUAUAUAGUAAAAAAUAUUAAAAAAAAAAAAACAAAACAAGCAUUGCUGCAACACAAUGUGCAGCAAUUUAUUUUGUGUUGCUGAUUACGCAAACUGUUAUAAAUGGGAGAGUUUGAGAAUAUUCACAAAAUAUUAUUAUUCUAUAGCGGGGAUUUAAUGUGCUAGGGCUGGCGGCCGGACGAGGCCGUGAUGGCGGGGAUGAUCGAGUCGUGCUGCAACAUAAUUGAAUGUUUAUAAUGUUAAACCUUUUUACUAUGUAACAUUUAUUCCUUGGAGAAACUACAUGGUUAACUAAACCAAAGAUAACUGGUCAUCUAGCAGAACACCCAAUUGCUGGUCUGACGAAUGAGCCUAGCAGCUCAUCUAGACAAAAGUGGGAUGAAUCUAGUUGCCAUAAAACUUAGGCCAGGGCAUUGAGAUGGAACAGCUGUUUGCAGGGUGACAGCCCAUGACAGUGGAAAGAAGAGUGGGAUGAGGGAUCCUUGUCCUCGCAGUUGAGCAAAAACUGGAUGUAUGCGGAUCCAUCAUACACGUGGUGCUCUCUCUCCAGGAGUGCAGAUGAAAGGUAUGUGGAUUAUAUUGCCCAGCUCCUGUUCGACGAUCUGCUGCCUCCACCUUAAUUGUCUUGGGAAAUCACAGCUUUGAUAGCAGCUGAGACACUAGAUAGACGGAGAGCGGAGAGGGCAAAGCCGUACAUACUUGGAGCGGAAGAUGGACUGCUGGUUCUAUAUUAAUCAUAGAUUAAUAUAAGUAAUUUGAAUUAUAUCCAAAUCUGAACAAACCAUAAACCUGUAGACCAAGUCAAUGUUUUGAACGAGGAUUUGACUUGACCAUUGAAUAGUCAAGCACGUUCACACAGGUUAGCAAGCUACGUACAGCACGCAUUACUUUUUUGAAGCUUCUAUGAUUCUCCCACUGAUUCCUUCAUGCAGGCUUUGUGUGUCAACAUCCUUGAAAUUUAAACAUUUCCGCUCCCGUAAAGAUGGGAAGGACCAUUUCAACGUAGCACUCGCGUGCUCUGGAUGUUAGAUUGACAAUCUCAAUCCUAUUGCAACAAAAACUUGGUGAAAGAAACCGAAACCCCUCGUUCGAUUUGAUUAGAACUUACAUGAGAGGAGAGAUUGAUCAUCUCAUCCACAACAAAACCUCUCUAUGAUCAGUAAUCAGUCACGAAUUCUAGCAGCAGCAGCAAGAGCAGCGGCAGCAGCAGCAAUCGUCCUUUGGCUUGGGCUUUUCCACCUUGAUCUCCUGGACGGAUUCCACAGAAAUACACUUGCGUUUCUUCUCGGUGGCCUUGAGGAUGUCGUCCACCUUGAAAUCACCCGUGAAGGUGUAAAGGGGAUCGUUAACCUCCACUUUCUUCACACCUGCAAGAGCACGAAGAUCUCUUGAUCAGCGAUCAAAAUUUGGGAGAAUUUGCGGAAAUCUACACUCACCGGAGACGCCGUGAUAGAUCUGAGACAUCAUCCUGUCCUUGCAUUUGUUGCAAGAGUCCACUUUCAAGACAACCUGCAGCACAGAGCUCGAGAUCAGACAAGGCUCAACGAAAUCAGAGACGCAAUGCUCACCUUCCAAGCCAUCUUGAUUGUCUACGAAUUUGCAGAUCACAGUUGUGAAAUUCGCAGCUUUGACAAGCUUGAGACACUAGAUACGGAAUGAAGAGGGCCCUGCUGCUGACUGGGGAGACGUCAUGAAUUUAUAUCCGAGCAGCAGUCGGAUGGAAUGCUUUCCACUCGUUUUACGCGGAAAGUUUCCCGUAGGAAUUGCCGCGUGGAAGCCGUCUUUGUAUGUACGAUGAAUCCCGCGCACGUUCGUAAAGAGAAAACGUUUUUUUUAUUAUAAUACUUUUUAUAAGACCUAUAAUCCGUUUGGCGCCAAAGCCCUAAUUGUUUGAACAGAAAUGUAGGGUUUGAUCGCUGGCGUGCAAGACCUGGCGCGCUCACACCGCCUGGAUCGGCACUGUUGUCGUGCGGUGGAAGAUCGCCCCCAAUUCGACAACCAGGGCGUCAUGAUCCAGAAGGAGCGCCGCUCGAAUCUGUGGCAAGCACGAAACAAAGAACAAGGCCAGAGAACUCUGGCCGAGGUUGCCAAACUUUCCUUCUUCUUUCUUCUAUGAAGAUGGAGAUGGAGCUCCAAUCUCUCUCCAUCAUGUAACCAUCCUUCUAGCGAUGGAACACACUCACUUAUUCCAUCCAGAAACCUUUAAAACAUCAUAGCCCGCAGUGGAUAAUUAAGAGGGCGAGACCGAUCGACAAGAAUGUUGUACAGCUGCUGAUGACGACUGGCGAUGGCGAUGAUCAUCCUCAAGUCAGCAUGGAAAUCCUACUCCGCAGGGAAUUGCUCCUGCCGAGAGAGUUAGCUCACCAAUGUAGGCCGUGGGCUUGGCAGCGAGGCUCGAGGCUUUGCCAUAGACCGAUCCAGCUCUCCAGACGUGAUGAAGUACGCUCCAUUCAGGAACAAGUUCUUCCCGGAUCUCCAGUGCCAGCUCUUCCAGAUUGAUUUCUCAGUGUACUCUCGCUUUAUGAUCAAACAUCAGUUUUGUAGCCUAUACAAAGAAAAAGUUCAAAAAAGCUUUACCUCUUUCGAGUUUUUGCAAAGAAUGUAUUGCCUUCAAUUGUGGGAUUUGCGCUGCCUCCAAUGGCGUACAUCUUCCAUUCUGUGUAGUCAUGGUUGACAAUGUGGAAGUAUCCGUGUCGGCAUCUACCAAAGCAAAAGAAGAAUACGAAAUCCAGUUAGAAAAGCCAAACCCGUGCGCAAAGAAAGCAAAAGCGUGAGGCUGACCUCGGCAUUCUUUCGACUAAACCCUGUUUAAAGUGAUUGUAAGCUACAGUCACUUGCAUUGCCCGGUCCGCAGUGUAAUCGUCGUUGUGUCCCAGGAGCAUCCAAAGCGUGAAAAAAAGGAGAUCUAGGAGGUGUGAGCGUGCCAGGCCUUGCAGACCGUCAGCAACAAAAGGAGAUUGAGAGCGUGGUACCGGAAGAUCUGGAGAAAGCGCUCCAAGAAAGAGAUUUCUUUCAAAAAAUUAUGACAAAUUUGAAAAACUCAGUUGGCGGUCAAUUGGCGCCAAAAUCCAAAAUGGGGUGAGAGAUGCUCGAACUCUCGACCUCAGGAUUUCUCAGGAGCUAUGAGACCUACGCGCUGACCAACUGCGCCACCACCUCUUCUAGAAACUUCUUAUAUAAUUAUAAGUCAAACCGUGCAUUUUAUUUUUCAUCAGAUUCAUUGGACGUAAGUUCAAGCAAGGACGCCUUCCACGCGGGCGAAACUUUAAGCGGAAACCGAGUGGAAAGGACUGGAAAUCUUGCGUCGCACGUUACUCGGGUAUAAAUUCAUGACGUCUCCCCAGUCAGCAGCAGGGCCCUCUUCUCUUCUGCUUCUCCGUCUCUCCGACUCUCGUGGUUAUUGGUAUCGCUUGUCAAAGAGCUGCGAAUCCGUGAUCUUCUCGAUCAAAUUCGUAGACAAUUAAGAUGGCUUGGAAGGUGAGCAUUGCGUCUGGCUGAUUUCGUUGAUUGUUUGAUCUCGAGCUCUGCGCUGUAGGUUGUCUUGAAAGUGGACUCUUGCAACAAAUGCAAGGACAAGGUUAUGUCUCAGAUCUAUCACGGCGUCUCCGGUGAGUGUAGAUUUCCGCGAAUUCUCCCAAAUUUCGAUGCUGUGAUCGCUGAACAAGAGAUCUUCAUGCUCUUGCAGGUGUGAAGAAAGUGGAGGUUAAAGAUCCCCUUUACACCUUCACAGGUGAUUUCAAGGUGGACGACAUCCUCAAGGCCAUCGAGAAGAAACGGAAGUGUAUAUCUGUGGAAUCCGUCCAGGAGAUCAAGGUGGAAAAGCCCAAGCCGAAGCCAAAGGACGAUUGCUGCUGCUGCUGCUCCUGCUCCUGCUGCUAGAAUUCCAGACUGAUCACUGACGAUAAAGAGUUUUGUUGUGGAUGAGAUGAUCGAUCUCUCCUCUCUGUUUUCCUUGUAAUCAAUUUCGAACGAGUGUUUAACGUAGAGCACCAGAUCAUUCAGUUUCUUUCACCAAAUUUUUGUUGCAAUAGGAUUGAGAUUGUCG
This 10453-nucleotide long non-coding RNA is filed under the name Selaginella moellendorffii. RNAcentral describes it as "long non-coding RNA (SMOE_LNC001522)". The record is from RNAcentral. Lineage: Eukaryota; Viridiplantae; Streptophyta; Lycopodiopsida; Selaginellales; Selaginellaceae.